UUGAACUGAAGAGUUUGAUCCUGGCUCAGAUUAAACGCUGGCGGCAUGCCUUACACAUGCAAGUCGAACGGCAGCACGGGGGCAACCCUGGUGGCGAGUGGCGGACGGGUGAGUAAUACAUCGGAACGU
The sequence is a ribosomal RNA, 129 nucleotides long. It matches the Rfam family "Bacterial small subunit ribosomal RNA", at positions 1 to 127 of the family's 1533-position model.